UACGUAGGGGGCAAGCGUUGUCCGGAAUCAUUGGGCGUAAGGCGCGUGUAGGCGGCCAGAAAAGUCCGCUGUGAAAACUCGAGGCUCAACUUCGAGCUGUCGGUGGAAACUUUCUGGCUAGAGUCCGGAAGAGGAGAAUGGAAUUCCUGGUGUAGCGGUGAAAUGCGCAGAUAUCAGGAAGAACACCCGUGGCGAAGGCGGUUCUCUGGGACGGUACUGACGCUGAGACGCGAAAGCGUGGGGAGCGAACAGG
This 253-nucleotide ribosomal RNA is filed under the name uncultured bacterium. RNAcentral describes it as "partial 16S ribosomal RNA". It matches the Rfam family "Bacterial small subunit ribosomal RNA", at positions 524 to 776 of the family's 1533-position model. The record is from RNAcentral.